UACAGAGGGUGCGAGCGUUGUCCGGAAUCACUGGGCGUAAAGGGCGCGUAGGCGGCCCGAUAAGUAGGGGGUGAAAUCCUGCGGCUUAACCGCAGGGCUGCCUUCUAAACUGCCAGGCUAGAGCACAGUAGAGGCAGGUGGAAUUCCCGGUGUAGCGGUGGAAUGCGUAGAGAUCGGGGAAGAACAUCAGUGGCGAAGGCGGCCUGCUGGGCUGUUGCUGACGCUGAGGCGCGACAGCGUGGGGGAGCAAACAGG
This 255-nucleotide ribosomal RNA is filed under the name uncultured bacterium. Its description in RNAcentral is "partial 16S ribosomal RNA". It matches the Rfam family "Bacterial small subunit ribosomal RNA", at positions 524 to 776 of the family's 1533-position model. The record is from RNAcentral.